UCUUGACAAAUUUUAGUUGCAGUCUUUUUAUUUUUUAUUAAGAUUUCUAUUUCCAAGGGCUCUAUUUAUCAUCAUAAUUCUCCUACUUUUGCGCCUAUAAUUACUCUGUCGGAUUUAUUCUCCUAUUUAUCAACACAUUUUACGCCCAAAAUAAGCUGUAAUACGACCUAAAAAUACGACCAGUUUUUCGCUCUCGCCAAGGCGCACAGGUGCGCCAAAUACAGCCAAAAAACAAUGGAUUUCAGUCGUAUUUUUAGAAAUACUCCCAACAAAUCGCCGAAAAUCAUAUUUAUCAUUAUUUUGCGCCAAAGGAGAACCUAUAAUUCUCCUAUAAAUCCGACCGUGAAAAUACUCCAUAACCAAGUAGGAGAACUUACAAUUUACUCCCAAAUUUUAUUCAUAGAAGAUGGAGUUUUUUUGUAUUUUGGCCGCUAUUUCUCUUGCUCAGUCCCAUGAAAAUCAAGAAAAUGAUGGAAAUAUGUUCCGGAGACGGCAAAGAGUUCCUCGAUUGUUUUUGCCCCGUUGUGGACUUGAGGCAUUAUCCGAUCGUGAAAUUAAGCGCAAAUUCAGGAUAAACCGAGAAAGCAUUUUGAAUCUAUAUUCUCUGAUUAAAAAUGACAUUGAUCCCCGAACCAGAAGAACAAGGGCAAUACCUGGACUUCUGAAAUUAUUCGCAGUUUUACAUUUUUUGGCAACCGGAUCUUUUCAGGCUGUAUCCAGUGAUGUUGUGGGCAUGAGUCAGCCUUCAUUUUGCCGCCAUUUAACAAUUGUUUUAAAAGCAAUUCUAAAACAUCUUUCUACAUUUAUUUAUGUUCCUAGGAAUGUGCAUGAAUGGCAUACAGUGAAGUCCAACUUUUACCAAGUAGCCGGUAUGCCCAAUGUUCUUGGUGCUAUAGAUUGCACCCAUAUUGCUCUUAGACCACCAUCCCUAAGGGAGGAGCAAUAUAGGAACAGGAAAAGCUUUCAUUCCCUAAACAUACAGGCUGUGUGUGAUGCAAACCUUAGAAUUUGGGCUGUUCGAUCUGGGUUUCCUGGAUCAUGUCAUGAUUUCCACAUCCUAAAACAAUCUGCACUAUUUUCUGCUUUUGAACAGGGCAACAUGCCACACGGUUGGCUAUUAGGUAAAUAUGAACUUAUUUCCAUAUAAUCUAAUUAUAAUGCAAUCAGUUCUCUGUAUUUUUUGUAAGUUUUUUUCUGAUUUGCACUUUAUACAUGUCAUUAAUAUAUAUAAGAAUUAUGAUUAAUUGUAAUGUUUAAAUUAUUUAUAAUCUCUAAUCAAUUUUUCUUUUGAAAAAAUAGGUGAUAGUGGUUAUCCGUGCCGAACUUGGCUGUUGACACCUGUCCCAAUGCCACAUACCAGAGGAGAAAUUAAAUUUAAUGAAUCCCACCGUAGCACAAGAAGUGCUAUCGAAAGAACUUUUGGGGUUUUAAAAAUGCGUUUCAGAGUUUUGGAUAGGUCUGGAGGAGCACUUCAAUAUUCGCCUGAAAAAUGUAAUGAUAUAAUUCUAGUUGCAUGCAUGUUGCACAACAUUGCAAUUUCCCAAGGCAAUUUAGAGGAGGAGUGUCCCAAUGAUCCCACAGAUGACACUUAUAUCCCUCAAGAAAUUAUAGGCAGACACACUACAAGGGCAGGUGUACAAAAUAGAUUGGAAAUUAUUGAAAGAUAUUUUUCAUAAUACAUGUCAUCACCCCGAGUUUUAAUUAUUUUAUAAGAAAUGUACACAAUUCUUUGAUAUUGAAGUUAACUCCACCCAUUUGAAAAAAUAAAACUUUUGCUUAUUUAUCAAAAA
Molecule: long non-coding RNA, 1790 nt
Organism: Bombina bombina (fire-bellied toad)
Lineage: Eukaryota; Metazoa; Chordata; Amphibia; Anura; Bombinatoridae
Exons: 2
Source: RefSeq, a predicted model, not a curated record